UACGGAGGGGGCGAGCGUUAAUCGGAUUUACUGGGCGUAAAGCGUGCGCAGGCGGCCCGUUAAGACAGGUGUGAAAUCCCUGGGCUCAACCUAGGAAUUGCGCUUGUGACUGGCGGGCUCGAGUACGGUAGAGGGGGGUGGAAUUCCUGGUGUAGCAGUGAAAUGCGUAGAGAUCAGGAGGAACACCGAUGGCGAAGGCAGCCUCCUGGGCCUGUACUGACGCUCAUGCACGAAAGCGUGGGGAGCAAACAGG
RNAcentral lists this ribosomal RNA (253 nucleotides) under uncultured microorganism. RNAcentral describes it as "partial 16S ribosomal RNA". It matches the Rfam family "Bacterial small subunit ribosomal RNA", at positions 524 to 776 of the family's 1533-position model. The record is from RNAcentral.